This 1323-nucleotide long non-coding RNA is filed under the name Bemisia tabaci. RNAcentral describes it as "lncRNA ENSSSA2NGG011034". Lineage: Eukaryota; Metazoa; Arthropoda; Insecta; Hemiptera; Aleyrodidae. The record is from RNAcentral.
AAAUUUUUGACAAAAAUGGACCACUAGACAAGGUACGGAUUUAAGCAUUCUGAUACAUGUUCUUGGCCAUAAUUUCACGUAGAACACGAUUCGCGCAACGAAAAUUACCGAAAUCAACUCCUAACAAAGAUUUUAACGUUUUCAUUUCACAUUGGGCACGAGGACUUUAAACUGCCCGCUCAUAAGAAACUCAAAGAUCUACGUGAGUCAAAUCGUGCACUACAACGGUUUCAGCAAGCCUCUCAAUCGAGCAAUGUUCAUUUCCCACCAUGUGUUGUUCAAACUAUAAACAACUUGCUGUAGCUGAGCAAGAGCGUCAAGAUUGAGGUUGCCAGAUUUUUAUAUCGCAGAGACUGUCGUGAUAACGUUUAGCGCGCGAUGUGAGUCACGUAGAUCAUUGAGUUUUCAUGAGCGGGUGCUUUGAAUUCACGCAUCAAGAAUCAUUAAAUAUCUUCGUAAGGAGUUGAUCUCGGUAAUUUUCGUUGUGCGCAUCGUGUUUUACGUGAAAUUUUGGUCAUAAAACGUGCAUCAGAAUGCUGAAAUUCGUGCCUUGUCUACUGGUCCAUUGUAAAAUUUGACGUUUAUUUCUUGAAAAUAUUAAUUUAAGGGGUGCGUUUUCACGAAAACCUUUCGAGAAGACCAACGAAACUACUUUUCAAGCAUCUAAAUUUUAUAUGAAUUAAAAUAUACGCUUUGAAAGUUUUUAAAUCAUGUCCGACCACUCCCAUUGACCCGAUCCACUGUGCGGCGACGCACCACGCACUGUCGUUUGUUCCUAUCUGUCGCACGCUCUAGCUCCCCCGAUCCUCCGAGGUGUGAGGGUGGAAGCUGUGCGCUACGGCCCGACCGGGGGGGGGGGUGUAAACCGGUGACGUAGGGGGGACGGGGGACGGGAUGCACUACGCGAUACGGCGGGUUCCUACGGGAGCUUUAUUUAGUUUUCUCCGGGCAUCCGCUAUGACAAGACGCUCGCUGUCGCGAUGUUCACCCGCCGCGCGUAUUUCGCUCACGUGCUUGUGUUAUUUUUAAACUCGCCACUCAUUUUCGCCAGUUUAGAGGGUAACUGUUGUUCGAGGGCCGAAGGUGCAUGCCGAAGUGCUUGUGAGCAGCCGGGACAACGCGACUUCGAUUUUAGCGCCUGGAUACAACUAUUCCACCUCGGGGGAUGUCCGUAUUGCAUAUGCAAGAAAGUGAAGGCGUUUUUUCCCUUUUCCUUGCGCUUAUGCUUGCCGCACCGCAUCACCGUGUGGGAGAAAGACAGACAAUUUGCAAUGCAAUAAAAUUGCAAGAAAUAUCAAUAUGAGGAGCCCAUUCAACUAGUGA